Molecule: ribosomal RNA, 501 nt
Filed under: uncultured bacterium
Lineage: Bacteria
Description: partial 16S ribosomal RNA
Rfam family: Bacterial small subunit ribosomal RNA
Source: RNAcentral
AUUGAACGCUGGCGGCAGGCUUAACACAUGCAAGUCGAGCGGAGAUGAGGUGCUUGCACCUUAUCUUAGCGGCGGACGGGUGAGUAAUGCUUAGGAAUCUGCCUAUUAGUGGGGGACAACAUUCCGAAAGGAAUGCUAAUACCGCAUACGUCCUACGGGAGAAAGCAGGGGAUCUUCGGACCUUGCGCUAAUAGAUGAGCCUAAGUCGGAUUAGCUAGUUGGCGGGGUAAAGGCCUACCAAGGCGACGAUCUGUAGCGGGUCUGAGAGGAUGAUCCGCCACACUGGGACUGAGACACGGCCCAGACUCCUACGGGAGGCAGCAGUGGGGAAUAUUGGACAAUGGGGGAAACCCUGAUCCAGCCAUGCCGCGUGUGUGAAGAAGGCCUUAUGGUUGUAAAGCACUUUAAGCGAGGAGGAGGCUACUGAGACUAAUACUCUUGGAUAGUGGACGUUACUCGCAGAAUAAGCACCGGCUAACUCUGUGCCAGCCGCCGCGGUAA